Molecule: long non-coding RNA, 944 nt
Organism: Epinephelus fuscoguttatus (brown-marbled grouper)
Lineage: Eukaryota; Metazoa; Chordata; Actinopteri; Perciformes; Serranidae
Exons: 7
Source: RefSeq, a predicted model, not a curated record
GUCAUUUCAGACUUUCCGGAGUCUAAAAGAGAAGGAGAGACGAGCAUCUUUCAAAAAGAAAAAAGCACCAUCAGAAGACAACCUGAAGGUUGUUAAGAUUUCAGUAGGCCUUAUGCAGCUGAAAGAUGGUGUACUGAAGACUGUAAGAGGAACAGUACUUCCCCUUUUGAUGCGACCAGAGUUGGAUGCUGAUGAAUUGUAGGGAGCUGCUGAGCAAAAACUGAAGACCUUCCACAGAAAUUUACAUGGUGGUCCCUACGUACUGCUCUACCCUGACGGUACAAUGAUAACUAAUAUACCAGGAAAAGAAGUACCCUUCACUCUAAAAGAGUACAAAGAGGCAGUGGGGAAGGCCUACCAAUGUAUCACAGUGUUCGUUUGUACAACUGAAGAUUUCUUUACCUCUUGAAACCAACUCUGAAUCUGCCUCGUCGGAUUCAGUUCUGCAGAAUUCAAUGCAGCUGAUACAUUAGUAUGGGAACCUGCAGAUAGAGAGUCAGGCACUGAUUCAGCAGCUCCGGUCUUACUUUCUGACUCACAAGAGGGCCCAGGAACAUCAGGAGGUGUGAUGGAAACUGUGUGCUAUAGAUUCAGAAUGCACCCUCAUUGGAGAUCCUUCAGGACUUGAUGGUACGGAACAGCGGCAUGUUGCAGACUGCUGGGUGCUUCAGGCAUGUCAAGUCAUGUGAAGAAAAAAAAAUGAUUGUAGAGGAGUACCUGAAGUGGUACAUCAUCCACAGGAACAACACUGCAAUCGAAAGAUUCAAGGCUGGACUUGAAAGUCUGCAGUUUCUGACAGCUCUGCAGCAGCAUCCGACGGUCCUGACCCCUGCUCUCUUCAUGCCAAUGUGAAGCUGUCUGCUGCAGGGAUGGAAAAUCUGUUCCAGUCUGAACUUAGUCAACAGGGAAGCAACAGGAGGGCUCAGGAAGAAAAGGCUAUGAGU